This 77-nucleotide transfer RNA is filed under the name Vibrio phage VPT02. RNAcentral's name for it is "tRNA-Cys". The record is from RNAcentral. Lineage: Duplodnaviria; Heunggongvirae; Uroviricota; Caudoviricetes; Demerecviridae.
GGGUAGUAAGCUGAAGUGAACGAAGCGCGGGAUUGCAAACCCCGUCUUACUCGGUUAAAGUCCGAGACUACCCUCCA